UCUCAAACAUAUGAUGUACAGACCUAUU
This 28-nucleotide small RNA is filed under the name Bombyx mori (domestic silkworm). RNAcentral's name for it is "ovarian small RNA-29554". Lineage: Eukaryota; Metazoa; Arthropoda; Insecta; Lepidoptera; Bombycidae. The record is from RNAcentral.